RNAcentral lists this long non-coding RNA (17608 nucleotides) under Homo sapiens (human). Its description in RNAcentral is "HSALNT0257760". Lineage: Eukaryota; Metazoa; Chordata; Mammalia; Primates; Hominidae. The record is from RNAcentral.
CACUCCUUCAGAGAUGCGCAGUGCUGCCCCUUUCUAUGGGCAGGGCCGAAGGUCCGCGUGUAAAAGUACCCAGUCCCUGGUAACCUGACACUUCCCUUUUAAAAGCCACCUUUUGUCUAUCUCUGGCCUGCCACGAUUCUUCCUGUGCUCCAUAGGAGGACCCAUUGGACCCCCGGGCUGGCUGCAGGGCCCACACCUGGGUUAGACCUCGCACAGGGACGCUGCUGCCACUGUAAUAAAGCGUGCCUACACGCUUCUGAAACUGGUGUAGGAACAACCUCAGUUCUGUGAAAGGCGGACGCAGCAGGACAGAAUCUCCGUGGACAUCUGUCUGGAGGAGCAAUUUUACUGCGACAUUUUAAAGAAACAAAUUUAAUUGAUUUCCAAGACUGGAGUGGGUUCAUAUUUAUCAUGCUGGAAGGAGUGUAGAAAAAUAGAGGAAUGAAGAAGGAAAACAACGCAAGUCAUUCUAUGUACUGUGGAAACAAACUGACAGUGGGUUUAGAAAAAAACAACAGAGGAAGAAGGUCUGAGUAGUCCCAGGCUGGAGUGUGACAAAGGAAAAUCUAAAAGGUCAACUUCAUUUACAGGAAAGAGCAUAGGAAAACAGACAAAAGAACAAAGAAGAAAAACAAUAGCAAGUCACUCUAAGUACUGUGGAAAUAAACUAAAUGUCAGGUUAGGAAUAGAACAGUGAAAGAAGGUCCCAGUAGUCCCAAGGACUCGGGAGGCUGAGACACGAAGACUGCCCAGGUGAGACUACAGAGACUGAAGUUGCAGUGAAUCAUCACAUCCUGCUACUGGACUUGAACAGUACUGCUGCUGAUGAGAGCCAUCUGGGCGACCUUCGACAUGGCAAGGUGCGAGCCAUCUGAUCAGCCUUAGACAUGGCAAGGCAAGAGCCAUCUGGUCAACCUUAGAAGUGACAAGGGACAGCCACCUGGUCGACCUUUGACAUGGCAGGAUGACAGCCAUCUGGUCGACCUUAGAGAUGGGAAUGCAAGAGGCUUCAGGUCCACCUUCAACAUGGUAAGGCUAAAGCCAUCUUGUCCAGCUUAGACAUGGCAAGGCAAGAGCCAUAUGGUCCACCUUAGUCAUGGGAAGGCAAGAGCCAUCUUGUUGACCAUAGACAUGGUAAGGUGGGAGCCAUCAAGUCUGCCUCAGACAUAGCAAGGUGAGAACCAUCUGGUCAACCUCAGACAUGGGAAAGUGAGAGCCAUCUGAUCUACUUCAGACAUGGCAAGGCAAGAGGCAUCUUGACCUCAGACAUGGCAAGGAAAGAGCCAUCCGGUCGACUUUAGAGAUGGAAAUGCGAAAAGGGUUUGGGUCCACCUUAAGCAUGGAAAGGCAAGAGGCAUCUGGUCUAGUUUAGGCAUGGCAAGGCAAGAGACAUAUGGUUUACCUUAGUCAUGGGAAGGUGAGAGCCAUCUGGUCGACCAUAGACAUGGCAAGGUGGGAACCAUCAAGUCCACUUCAGACAUGGCAAGGUGAAAGCCAUCUUGGUCAACCUUAGACAUAGGAAGUUGAGAGCCACAUGGUCUACUUAAGGCAUGGCAAGGCAACAAGCAUCUGGUCAACCUCAAACAUGGCAAGGCAAGAGCCAUCUGGUCAACAUUAGAGAUGGUAAUGCAAGAGGCUUCAGAUCCAUCUUAGACAUGGUAAGGCAAGAAGCAUCUCAUCUAGCUUAGACAUGGCAAAUCAAGAGCCAUGUGGUCCACCUUAGUCAUGGGAAGGUGAGAGCCAUCUCGUUGACCAUAGACAGGGCAAGGUGGGAGCCAUCAAGUCCACCUCAGACAUGGCAAGGCGAGAGCCAUCUAGUCUGCCUCAGACAUGGCAAGGUGAGAGCCAUCUGGUUAACUUUAGACAUGGGAAGGAGAGCCAACUGGUUGGCCUCAGACAUGGAAAGGCUAGAGCCAUCCAGUCGACCUCAGAAAUGGGAAAGAGAGAGCCAUCUGGACAACCUUAAACAUGACAAAAUGAGAGCCAUCUGGUAGACUUUAGACAUAGAAUGGCAAGAGCCAUCUGGUCAAUCGUAGAUGUGGCAAGGUGAGAGCCAUCUGAUUGACCUAGACAUGGCAAGGUGAGAGACAUCUGGUCGACUGAAGACAAGGAAAAAUGAAAGCCAUCUGGUUGAGCUUAGACAUGGCAAGGCAAGAGUCAUCUGGCCGACCUUAGACAUGGAAAAAGAAGAGCCAUCUGUUUGACCUUAGACAUGGCAAGGCAAGAUCCAUCUGGUCAACCUUAGACAUGGCAAGGUGAGAGCCAUCUUGUUGAACUCACUCGAAGAGGAGACCCAUCUGGUCAACCUCAGACAUGGCAAGGUGAGAGCCAUCUGAUCGACCUUAGACAUGGCAAGGUGAGAGCCAUCUGGUCGACCUUAGAUAUGGCAAGGUGAGAAUCAUCUGGUCAAUCUUAAACAUGGCAAGGUGAGAUCCAACUUGACCUUAGAUAUGAUGAGGUGAGAACCAACUGUUCAAUCUUAGACAUGGCUAGGCAAGUGCCAUCUGGUCCACCUUAGAUAUGGCAAGGCGAGAGCCAUCUGGUCGACCUUAGACAUGGCAAGGUGAGAGCUGUCUGUUCAUCUUAGACAUGACAAGCUGGCAGCUAAAUGCGAUGCAUGCAGUCGACAUCCAUCUCAAAAUAAAUGAACCAACAGUAAAUAUAUAACAAUAACAAGGAAAUAAUAGUGAACAACCCUAAAGACCAAAUAAUUAAGUAGGAGUGUACAAUAAUAAAAGGUAAUUAAUGUCGCAAUUUAAAAAAACUCCUCUCUCUCUCUGUCUCUCUCUCUAUUUGUCACACACAGGGUGAAGUGUAACCAAAAAAAAAAAAAAAAUCCAAAGGUCAAACUCAGUUUGCAGGAAGGAGCAUAGGAGAAUAAAGGAUGGAACAAAGAAGAAAAAGAACAGCAAGUUACUCUGAGUAUUGUGGAAACAAACUGAAAUUAGAGUGAGAGAGAGAGAGAAAAAAAAAGAAGGUCCGAGCAAUCUCAGAUAUAUGAGAGGCCAAGAUGGGAAGAUCACUUGGGUAAGACUGGGAAGAUUGAGUCUGCAGUGAGUCACAGUCGCAUCAUUCUGCUGGAUUUGAAUGGUACUGCUUCUGGCCCAAGUUGUCUGGGCAACCUUAGACAUGGUAAGGCAAGAGCCAUCUGAUCAACAUUAGACAUGGCAAGGUGAAAGCCAUCUGGUCGACAGGGAUUCUAAUAGAAGACACUCUGGGCCGAUGGCAGACGUCUAAUAAUAGAGACAAAGGGUGAGCCCGGACAUUUUAAUGGGAGAGAAGCCUGGAUGACCCCAGGUAUUCUAAUGUUAGAAACACCUACGUGACUCCAGGCCUCCUAAUGGUGGAGACUCCCAGCCUACCCCAGGCAUUCUCUUGUGAGAGACUUCUGGCUGACCCCAGGCAGUCUAUUUAUGGAGACACCUGGGAGACCCCAGGCAUUCUGGGAGGAACUCCUGGCCAACCGCAGGGAGUCUAAUGAUAGAAACACCUGAACGACCACAGGAAUUCUAAUGGAAGAGACCCCUGGCAGGCCCCAGGCAGUCUAAUGAUAGAGGCACCUGGGUGGCCCCAGGUAUUCUAACCAGAGAGACUCCUGGCCAACCCCAGGCAGUCUAAUCAUAGAGACACCUGGGUGACCCCAGGCAUUCUAAUGAGAAAGACUCCCGUGUGACAGCAGGCAGUCUAAUGAUAGAGACACCUGGGUGACCCUAAGCAUUCUAAUAGGAAAGACUCCUGGCUGACCCCAGGCAGUCUAAUGAUACAGAUACCUGGGUGACCCCAGGCAUUCUAAUGUGAGAGAUGCCCUGCUACAUUCAGGAAGUCUAAUGAUAGAGACAAUUUGACGACCCCAGGCAUUCAAAUGGGAAGGCUCCCAGCCAACCCCAGGCAUUCUAAUGGCAGAGACUCCCCGCUGACCCUAGGCAUUCUAAUGAUAGAGACACCUGGGCCACCCCAGGUAUGGGAGAAACUCUCAGGUAAACUCAAGUAUUCUAACAGAGGUACUCCUGGCUGGCCCCAGGCAGUCUAAUGAUAGAGACAGCUGGGUGACCACGGGUGUUCUAAUGGGAGAGACUCCUGGUCAACCCCAGGCAGUCUAAUUAUUAAAGACACCUGGGCUACCCCAGACAUUCUAAUGGGAGCAACUCCCGACCAACCCCAGGCAGUCUAAUGAUAGAGACAUGUGGGCCAUCACAAGAAUUCUAAUGGAAGAGGUUCCUGGCUGACCCCAGGAGAGACACCAUUCUAAUGGGAGAGACUCUGGGCCGUUUCCAGGCUGUCUAAUGAUAGAGAAACCUGGGCGACUGCAGGCAUUUUAAUGAGAGCGGCUCCUGUCCGAACACCAGCAGUCUAAUGAUAGAGACACCUGGGCAACCCCAGACAUUCUAAUGGGAGAAAAUCCUGUGCAAUCCCAGGCAGUCUAAUUAUAAAGACACCUGGGCAACCCCAGGCAUUCUAAUGGGAGAGACCCCCGGCUGACACCAGGCAUUCUUAUGGGAAUGACUCCUGGCUGAGCCAGGCAGUCUAAAGAUAGAGACACCUGGGCAUACCAAAGCAUUCUAAUGGGAUAGACUAACGGCUGACCCAAGGUAGUCUAAUGAUAGAGACACCUGGAUGGCCCCAGGCAUACUAAUGGAAGAGACUCCUGGCUGACACCAAGCAUUCUAAUGAUAGAGACAACUGAUCAACCCUAGGCAUUGAAAUGGAAGAGACUCCUUCUCGAACCCAAGCAUUCUAAUAAUAGAGACAGCUAAUCAACUACAGGCAUUUUGGAGAAACUCCCGAUCAACCACAGACAUUCUAAUAAUAGAGACACCUGGGCGACCACAGGCAUUCCAAUGGGAGAGACUCCUGGCCAACACCAGGUGGUCUAAUUAUAGAGACACCUGGGUGACCCCACGCAUUCAAAUGGGAGAGACUCCUGGCCGACCCCAGGUGGUCUAAUUAUAAAAAAAAAAAAACCUAGGUGACCCCAGUCAUUCUAAUGGCAGAGACUAUCAGCUGAACCCAGGUAUUCUAAUGGGAGAGACUCCUGGCUGACCCUAGACUACCUUAGGUAGUCUAGUUAUAAACACACCUGGCCAAACCCAGGCAUUUUAAUGGGGAAGACUACUGGCCAAUCCAAAGCAUUCUAAUGAUAGAGACACCUAAGCGACUCCAGGCAUUUUAAUGGGAAAGACUCCCAGCCGACCUGAGACAUUCUAAUGGAAGAGAGCCUUGGUUGACCCCAGGCAAUCAAAGAAUAGUAACACCUGGGCGACUCCAGGCAUUCUAAUAGGAAAGAGUCCUAGAUGACACCAGGAAAUCUAAUUAUAAAAACACCAGGGUGACCCAAGGCAUUGUAAUGGGAGACACUCCUGGCAGAACCCAACAGUCUAACGAUUGAGACACCAGUGCAACUCAAAGCAUUGUAAUGGAAGAGACUCCCGCAGACACCAGACAGUCUAAUAAUAAAUUCACCUGGACGACCCAAGGCAUUCCAAUGGGAAAGACUCCCAGCCGACACCAAGUAGUCUAAUGAUAAAAACACAUGAGUGAUUCCCGGCAUUCUAAUGGGAGAAACUACCAGUUGAUCACAGGCUGUAUCAUGAUAGAGACACAUGCAUUUUAAUGGGAGACACUUCUGGCUGACCUGGGGCAGUCUAAUGAUGGAAACACCUGGGCAAAACCAGGUAUUAUAAUGGGAGAGACUGCUGGCUGAAGCCAGGCAUUGUAAUGAUAGAGACACCUGGGCAAUCCAGGCAUUCUAAUGGGACAGACCUUUGGCUGAUUCCAGGGUUUCUAAUAAUAGAGACACCUGGUCGACCCCUGGCUUUCUAAUGGGAGAGACUUGUGUGGACCGCCAGGCAGUCUAAUGAUAGAGACACCUCGGGGACCCCAGGAAAUCCAAUGGGAGAAACUUCCAGGUGACCCCAUUCAUUCUAAUGAUAGAGACACCUGGGCGACCAGAUGCAUUUUAAUGGAAGAGACUCCUGAACGACCUCAGGCAUUCUUAUGAUAGAGACAGUUGGGAGACCCUAGGCAUUCUAAUAAAUCGAACUCCUGGGCGAUCACAGGCAGUCUAAGAUUAGAGACACCUGGGUGACCACAGACAUUCUAAUGGGAGAGACUCCUUGCUGACCACAGGCAGUCUAAGGAUAGAAACACGUUAGCAUUCGCCAAGACACCUUGGCGAUCACAGGCAUUCUAAUGAAAGAGACUCAUGGCCGACCCUAGGCAGUCUAAUAAUAGACAUACUUGGGUGACCCCAAAAAUUCUAAUGUGAGAGACUCCCAGUUGACGUCAGGCAGUUUAAUAAAUGUGAGAGACUCCCGGCCGACCCCAGGUACUCUAAUGAUAGAAGAACCUGGGCCACAUCUGGCAUUCUAAUGGAAGAGACUCCUGGCCGACCCCAGGCGGUCUAAUGAUAAACCUGGGCGGCCCAAUGCAUUCUAAUGGGAAAAACUCUGGUCCAAACCCCAGCAUUUUAAUGGGAGAGACUCCUGGCUGACCCCAGGUGGUCUAACUAAAGAGACACCUGAGAGAACCCAGGCAUUCUAAUGGGAAAGACUACCGGCCAACCCCAGGCAUUCUAAUGAUAGAGACACCUUGUUGAGCCCAGUCUUUCUAAUGGAAGAGAAUCCCAUCCAACCCAAGACAGUCUAAUAAGACACCUGGGCGACCCCAGGCAUUCUAAAGAGACACCUAGGCGACUCCAGGCGAUAUUAUAGCAGAGACUCCCAGCCAACACCAGACAAUGAAAGAAACUCCCAGCGGAUGCCAGGCAGUCUAAUGAUAGAGACACCUGGGCAACCCCAGGCAUUGUAAUGGGAGAGACUCCGGUCCAAUCCCAGGCAUUCUAAUGAGAGAAACACCUGGCUGACCCCAGGCAGUCUAAUAAUAGAGAACCUGGGUGAACCCAGGAAUGCUACUGAAAGAGACUCCCGGCCAAUCUCAGGCAGUCUAAUGAUACAGACCUCUGUGCAACCCCAGGCAUUCUAAUAAUAAAGACUUCCAGCCGAACCCAGACAGUCUAAUGAUAGAGAGACCUUAACGUCCCCAGACAUUCUAACGAGAAGAACUUCUUGCUGACCACAGGCAGUCUAAUGAUAGAGACACCUGGACAACUCCGGGCAUUCUCAUGGGAGAGAAUCUUGGCCAAACCAAGGCAUUCUAAUUAUAGAGACACCUGGGUAAGCCCAGGCAUUCUAAUGGGAAAGACUCUUGGCCGAACCCAGGCAUUCUAAUGAGAGUCUCCUGGUUGACCCAAGGCAGUCUAAGGAUAGAAACGCCUGGGCGACUCCAGAAAUUCUUAUGGGAGAGACUCCUGGUUAAUCCCAGGCAGUCUAAUGAUACAGACACCUGGGCAACACGAGGAAUUCUAAUUAGAGAGACUCCUGGCCUAUCCAGACAGUCUAAUAACAAAGACACUUGGACAAACCCAGGUAUUCUAACGUGAGAGACUCACGGCCAACCCCAGGCAGUCUAAAUAUAGAAACACCUGGGAGACCCCUGGCAUUUUAAUGAAAAAGACUCCGGUCCGACCCCAGUCAGUCUAAUUAAAAAGACACCUGAGUGACCCCCGGCAUUCUAACAGGAAACACUCCUGGCUGACCCCAGGCUGUCAAAUUAUGGAGAUACAUUGUCUACCCCAGGCAUUUUGAUGGGAGAGAAUCCUGGCCAAACUCAAGCAUUUUAAUGGUAGAGACAACUGGGUGAACCCAGGCAUUGUAAGGGGAUAGGUUCUUGGCCGACACCAGGCAUUCUAAUGAUAGGAACAUCUUGUCAACCCCAGGCUUUCUAAUGGGAGAGACUCCCAUCCAAACCCAGGGAGUCUAAUGAUAGAGACACCUGGAAAGCAUUCAAAUGGAAGAGGUACCAGCUGACCCCAGGCAUUCUAAUGAUAGAGACACCUGAGCGACCAGUGGCAUUCUAAUGAUGGAGACAUUUGAGCGACCACAGGCUUUCUAAUGGGUGACACUCCUGGCUAAACCCAGUGUGUCUAAUGAUAGAGACACCUGGGAGACCCCAAACAUUCUAAUGGGAAGGCUGCCAGCCUAACCCAGGCAUUUUAAUGACAGAGACACCUGGUCGACCCCAGGCUUUCCAAUGGGAGAGACUUUCAUACAAACCAGGCAGUCUAAUAAUAGAGAAACCUGGUUGGUCCCAGACAUUACAAAGGGAGAGACUCCUGGCUGACCCCAGACAGUCUAAUGAUAGAGACAUCUGGUGACACCACACAUUCAAAUGAGAGAGACUCCCCACUGAGCCAAGGCAGUCUAAUGAUAGAGACACCUGGGCAAUCCCAGGUGUUCUAAUGGGAGAGACUCCCGACCGACCCCAGGCGUUCUAAUGAGAGAGACUUCUAGCUGACCACUGGCAGACUAAUGAUAAAGACACUGGGGUGAACCUAGCCAUUCUAACGGGAGAGACUCCCAGCUGACACCAGGCAGUCUAAUGAUAGAGACACUUGGGCGACAACAGGCAUUCUAAUGUGAAAGACUCCUGGCUGACUCAAAGCUGUCUAAUUAUAGAGACAGCUGCAUGAACCCAGGCAUUCGAGAGAAAGAUACCCCUGGCCGACCCCAGGCAGUCUCAUCAUAUAAAAACCUGGGCAAUUCCAGACAUUCUAAUGGGAGAGACUCUCGGCCAACACAAGGCAUUCUAAUGGGAGAGAUUCCUUGCAGACAGCAAGCAAUCUAACAAUAGGGACACCUGGGCAACUGAAGGCAUUGAAAUGAGAGAGACUCCUGGUCAACCCCAGGUAAUCUAAUGAAAGUAAAAACUGGGCGACCCAAGGCAUUCUAACGAAAGAUACUUUCAGCCAACACCAGGUGGCCUAGUGACAGAAACACGAGUGACCCCCAGAAUUUUAAUGGAAGAGACUCCUGGUUGAGCCCAGGCAGUCUAAUGAUAGAGACACCUGUGCAACCCUAUGCAUUCUAAUAAAAAAGAGUCACCACCGACCCCAGGAUUUCUACUGAUAGAGACCCCUGGGCAACCCCAGACAUUUUAAUGGGAGAGAUUCCUGGCCGACCCCAGGAAAUCUAAUAGGAGAAACUGCUGGCCUACCUAAGCAGUAUGAGCUUAGAGACACCUGGGCAUCCACAGGCAUUCCAAUGAGAGAGGAUUGCGCCAGCCCAAGGUAGUCUAAAAAUAGAGACAACUGGGUGACCUCAGGCAUUCUAAUGAAAGGGACCCCCUGCCAACUCCAGGUAGUCUAAUGAUAGAAACACCUGGGCGACCCCCGUCAUUCUAAUGGGAGAGACUCCUGGUCGACCCCAGACGGUCUAAUUAUAGAAACACCUGGGUGACCCCAGGCAUUCUAAUGAUAGAGACACAUGGGCGACUUCAGGCAUUCUAAUGGAAAAGACACCCUGCUUACCCCAGGCAUUCUAAUGAAACAGAUUCCUGGCUGAUAUUAGGCAGCCCUAUCAUAGAGGCAUCUAGGCUACCGCAGAAAUUCUAAUGGGAGAGACUACUAGGCGACUCCAGGCAGUCCAAUGAUACAGACACUUGGGUGACCCUAGGCAUUCUAAUGGCAGAGAACCCUGGCUGACCCCAGGCAGUACAAUAAUAGAGACCCCUGGACAACCCUAGGCAUUUCAAUGGGAAACACUCCCAGCUGUCCCUGAACAUUCUAAUGAUAGAGGAACCUUGGAGACCUCAGGCAUUCUAAUGAAAGAGACUCCUGGCUGACCCCAGGCAUUCUAAUGGGAGAAAUUGCUGGCCAACCUCAGGCCACCUAAUGAUAAAGACACCUGGGCGACCACAGGCAUUCUAAAGGGAGAGACUACCGGUCGACCACAGGCUGUCUGAUGAUAGAGACACCUGCGUGAGCCCAGGCAUUCUAAUAAUAGAGACGCGUUGGUGACCCUCAUCAUUUUAAUAAGAGAGAUUCCUGGGUGAACCCAGGCAUUGUCUUAAGAGAGACUCCUGACUGAAUUCAGGCAGCCUAAUUAUAGAGACACCUGGGUGAACCGAAGCAUUCUAAGGGAAGAGAUCCUUGACCAACAGCAGGCAGUCUUAUGAUAGAGACACCUGGGUGACCACAGGCCUUAUUAUGGGAGAGACUUUUUGCCGAACUUAGGCAGUCUAGUGAUAGAGACAGCUGGGCCACACUAGGCAUUCUUAUGGCAGAGACCCCUGACCAACCCCAGACAUUGUAAUUAUAGAGCAACAUGUUUGACCCCAGGCAUUUUAAUGGGAGAGACUCUCGGUCAACCCCAGGGAUUUUUAUGGGAGAGACUACUGGCCAACACAAGGUAGUCUAAUGAAAAAGACACCUGGGCAACCCCAUGCAUUCCAGUGGGAGAGACUCCUGGCCCAACCAAGUUAGUCUAAUAGGGACACCUGGGUAACCACAGGAAUUCUAAUGGGAGAGACCCCUAACCGACCUCAGGCAUUCUAAUGAUAGAAACACCUGGGCAACCACAGGCAUUCUAAUGGGGGAGACUCCCGGCCAACUUCAGCCAUUCUAAUGGGAGAGACUCCUGGCCGAACCCAAGCAGUCUAAUGAUAAAGACACAUGGGUGACCACAGGCAUUCUAACAGGAAAGACUCCAGGUAGACCCCAGGCUGUCUAAAGAUAGAGACACCUGGGCAACCACAGACAUUCUAAUGGGAGAUACUGCCAGCUGACCCCAGUCAUUCUAAUAAGACAGACACCUGGCUGACCCUGGGCAGUCUAAUGAUAAAGACAUCUGGACGACCCCAGGCAUUCUAAAGGGAGAAACUACUGGCCGACUGCAGGCUGUCUAAUGAUAGAGACAGCUCCUCGAGCUCAGGUAUUCAUGGGAGAGAUUCCCAACUGACAUUAGAAUGGCAGGCAUUCUAAUGAUAGAGACACCUGGGCGACCACAGGUAUUGUAAUGGGAGAGGUUCCCCAUCGUCCACACUCAUUGUAAUGAUGGAGGCACCUGAACGAUCUCAGGUAUUGUCAUGAUAGAGACACCUGUGCGACCCCAGGCACUCAAAUGGGAGAGACUCCCAGCAGACACCAGGCAGUCUAAUGAGAGAGAUUCCUGGCUGAACCCAGGCAGUCAAAUGAUAAAGACAUCUGGGCAAAACCAGGCAUUCUAAAGGGAGAGACUCCUGGCUAACCCCAGGCAGUCUAACAGUAGACACCUGGGCGACCUCAGUCAUUCUAAUGGGAGAGGCUCAGCCCACCCCAGUGAUUCUAAUGGGAGAGACUUGUCUGAUCCCAGGCAGUUUAAGGUUAGAGACUCCUGAGCAACACCCAGGCAUUCUAAUAUGAGAGACUCCCGGCUGACAUAAGGAAGUCUAAAGAUAGAGACACCUGAGCAACCAGAGGCAUUCUAAUGGGAGAGACUCUCAUGCGAUCCCAGGCAGUCUUAUGAUAGAGACACCUAGGCAAUCGCAGGCAUUUUAAUGGGAGAGACUCCCGGUCAUCCAGAGGCAUUGUAAUGAUGGAGACAUCUGGAAGAUGGCAAGCAUUGUAAUGAUAGGGACACCUGUGUGACCCCAGGCACACAAAUGGGAGAAACUCCCAGCCAACACCAGGCAUUCUAAUAAGAGAGAUUCCUGGCUGACCCCAGGUGGUCAAAUGAUAAAGACACGUAAGCGAAACCAGGCAUUCUAAUGAGAGAGACUCCUGGCUAACCCCAGGCAGUCUAAUAAUAGAGACACGUGGGCAACCCCAGUCAUUCUAAUGGGAGAGACUCCCAGCCACCCUCAGUGAUUCUAAUGGAAGAGACUCUUGUCUGACCCUAGGCAGGUGAGAUUCCUGGGCGACUCCAGGCAUUCUAAUAAGACAAAUUCCCAGCCCAAGCAAGACAGUCUAAGGAUACACAGCUGAGCAACAUCAGGCAUUUUAAUGGGAGAGACUCCUGGCUGAAUCCAGACAGUCUAAUUAUACAGACUCCUGGGUGACUGCAGGCAUUCUAAUGAAAGAGACUCCCAGCUGAACCCAGGCAGUGUGAUUAUAGAGACACUUAGGUGACCCCAGACAUUCUAAUGGGAGAGACUCCUGGAUGACCCCAUUCUAAUGAUAGAGACACCUGUGCGACCCCAGGCUGUCUAAUGAUAGAGACAGCUGGGGAACCUGAGGCAUUCUUAUGGGAGAGGCCCAGGGCCAACCCCAGGUAUUCUAAUGAUAGAGACACUGGGCGACACUAGACAUUUUAAUGAGAGAGACAACCAACCAGCCCAAGGCAGUCUAGUGAUACAAACACCUGGUCGACCCCAGGCAUUCUACUGAAAGAAACUCCUGGCCAAACCCUGGCAUUCUAAUGAUAGAGACAAGUGAGCAUUUUAGUAAUAGAGACACCUGGGCUACAACAGGCAUUUUUUUAUGUGAGAGACUCCUGGCAACCCCAGGCAUUCUAAUGGAGAGACUCCUGGCUGACCACAGGCAGUCUAAUGAUAGAGACACUUGAGUGACCCCAGACAUUAUAAUGGAAGAGACUCCUGGCCGACAUCUUGCAGUCUAAUUUAAGUGACAACUGAGUGAACACAGGCAUUCUAAUGGGAGAGACUCCUGGCUGACCAAGGCAGUCUGUGGAUAGAGACACCUGGGUGACCCCAGGCAUUCUAAUGGGAAAGAUUUCUAGUUGACCACUGGCAGUCUAAUUAUAGAGACACAUGGGAGACCCCGGGCAUUCUAAUGAAAGAGACUCCUGGCCAACCCCAGGCAAUCUAAUGAUAGAGGCACCUGGGCGACCCAAGGCAUUCUAAUGGGAGAGACUCCUGGCCAACCUCAGUGAUUGUAAUGGAAAAGACUCUUGUCCGCCUUCAGGCUAUCUAAGGAUAAAAGCUCCUUGGUACCUCCAGGCAUUCUAAUGAGAGGGACUCCCAGCCAAAUCCAGGCAGUCUAAUGAUAGAGACACUUGGGUGACCCCAGGCAUUUUAAUAGGAGAGACUCCUGACCUGCCCCAGGCAGUUUAAUUUUACACACUUCUGGGAGACCCCAGACAUUGUAAUGAAAAAGACCCCCGGCCAACCCCAGGCAGUGUGAUGAUAGAGACAAUUGGGCUACUCCAGGCAUUCUAAUGGGAGAGGCUCCCAGACAACCUUAGGCAUUCUAAUGAUAGAGACACCUCUGUGACUCCAGACAGUCUAAUGGGAGUGACUGCAGUCAAACCCACACAUUCUAAUGGGGGAGACUCCCUGCCAACCUCAGGCAGUUUAAUGAUAGAGAUACCAGGGCGACCCCAGGCAUUGUAAUGAGAGCGACUGCUUGCUGACCUAAGGCAAUGUAAUGAUAGACACACCUGGGAGACCCCAGGCAUUCUAAUGGGAGAGAUUCCUAGUUGACCACAGUCAGUCUAAUUAUACAGACAGCAGGGCUACCCCAGGCAUUCUAAUGGGAUAGGCUCCUGGCCCACCCCAGGCAGUCUAAUGAUAGAGACAUAUAGGCGACCACAAGCAUUCUAAUGAAAGAGACUCCUGGCUGACCCCAGGCAGUCUAAUGAACAGAAGAAACUCCUGGCCAAACCCAGGCAGUCUAAUUAUGCAGAGUCCUGGGAGACCCCAGGCAUUCUAAUGAAAAAGACUCCCAGCCAAACCCAGGCAAAGUGAUAGAGAAACUUGGGUGACUGCAGGCUUUCUAAUGAGACAGACUCCUGGCUGAUCCGAGGCAUUCUAAUGUUAGAGACACUUGGGCGACCCCAGGCAUUAUAAUAUAAUGAUAGAGACACCUUUGCCACCCCAGGCAGUCUAAUGAUAGAGAUACAUUGGCGACCCCAGGGAUUCUAAUAAGAGAGACUCUUGCUUAAACACAGUGAUUCUAAUAGAAGAGACUUGUGUCCUACUCGAGGCAGUCUAAGGAUAGAGACUCCUGGGUGAUCCCAGCAUUCUAAUGGGAGAGACUCCUGGCAGAACCCAGGGAAUCUAAUGAUAGAGACACCAGGGUGACCCCAGACAUUCUAAUGGGUGAGAUUUUUGGCCGACAAUAGGCAGUUCAAUUAUACAGACUCCUGGGCAAUCCCCAGCAUUUUAAUGGGAGACACUACCCAUGGACCCCAGGCAGUCUAAUUAUAGAGACAAUUGAAUGACACCACACAUUCUAAUGGAAGACACUUCCGGAUGACCCAGACAUCCUAAUGAUAGAGACACUUGUGCAACCCCAGCCAGCCUAAUGAUAGAAACACCUGGGCGACUUUAGGCAUUCUUACGGGAGAGACCUCCAGCUGACCCCAGUAAUUCUGAUGAUAGAGACCCCUGGUUGACCCCUGUCAUUCUGAUGGGAGAAACUCCUGGCUGACACAAUGUAGUCUAAUGGUAGAAACAUCUUGGCGACCCCAGGCAUUCUAAUGGGAGAGACUCCUGACAAAACUUUGGCAUUCUAAUGAUAAAGACAAGUGGGCAACCCCAAGCAUUGUAAUGGUAAAGACACCUGGGUGAUCCCAGGAAUUCUAAUGUGAGAGACUCCUGGCCAACCCCAGGCAUUCUAAUAAAGAGACUUCUGUCUGACCACAGGCUGUCUAGUGAUAGAGAUACCAGGGUUACUCCAGGCAUUCUAAUGAAAGAGACUCCUGGCGGACCCCAGACAGUCUAUUUAAAGUGAUAACCUGGGCCACCACAGGCACUCUAAUGGAAGAGACUCCUGGCUGACCCCAGGCAUUCUAAUGGGAGAGAAUCCUGGCCGAACCCAGGCAGCCAAUGGAUAGAGACACCUGAGCAAACCCAGGCAUUCUAAUGAAAGAGACUCCCGGCCGACCCCAGGCAGUCUAAUAAUAGAGACACGUGAGUGGACACAGGCAUUCUAAUAGGAGAGAUUCCUGGCUGACCCAAGCAGUCUAAUUAUAGACACCUGGGUGACUCCAGGCUUUCUAAUAGGAGAAACCCCAGGCUGACCCUAAGCAGUCUGAUGAUAGAGGCUUCUUGGUGACGGCAAGCAUUCUAAUGUGAGAGACUCUCGGCCAACCCCAGGCAUUCUAAUGAUAGAGACAUUUGGGAGCCCCCAGUUAUUUUAAUGAUAGAGACACCUGAGCGACCCUAAGCAUUCUAAUGGGAGACAACAAGGCUGAAACCAGGCUUUCUAAUGGGGAGACACCUGGCUGAUCCCCAACAGUCUAAUCAUAAAAAACACCUGGAUGACUCCAGUCAUUUUAAUGGCAGAGACUCCCGGUCUACCCCAGGUGUUUUAAUGGGGAGACUUCUGACCGACCCCAGGCAGUCUAAUCAUAAAGACAGCUGGGCUAAGCCAGACAGUCUAAUGAAAGAGAUUGCCAGCCGAACACUGGCUGUUUAAUUAUAAAGACACUUGGGCAAUCCCAGGCGUUCCAAUGGAGGAGACUCCCAGCUGACCACAAGCAGUCUAAUGGUAUUGACACCUGGAAGUCCCAAGACAUUCUAAUGGAAGAGAUUCCCGUCCUACCACAGGCAUUCUAAUGAUAGAGAUACCUGGGCCACCCCAGGCAUUCUAAUGGGAGAGACUCCUGGCUGACAACAGACAGUCUAAUGAUAGAGAAACUUGGGCGAACCCAGUAUUCUGAUUGGAGAGAUUCUAGGCAGUCUGAUAGUGACAACUGGGCAACUACAGGCAUUCUAAUGGGAGAGGCUAAUGGCUGACCACAGGCAUUUUAAUUGGAGAGAAUCCUGACUGACCCAAGGAAAUUUAAGGAUAGAGACACCCGGGUGAUCCCAGACAUUCUAACGGGAGAGACUCCUGACCGACACCAGACAGUCUAAUUACAGAGACACUUGGGCUAUCCCAGGCAUUCUACUGAAAGUGACUCCCGUUUGACUCCAGGCAGUCUAAUGAUAGAAAUACCUGGUUGACUUCAGGCAUUGUAAUGGGAGAGACCCCCAUCCAAUCCCAGGCAGUCUAAUGAUAGAGACAGCUGGGCGACCCCAGGCGUUCUAAUAGAGUAUCGGCUAACCACAGGCAGUCUAAUGAGAGAGACAACGUGGAGACCUGAUUCAUUCUAAUCAAAGAGACUCCCAGCGAACCCCAGUCAUUCUAGUAAAAGAGACACUUGUCCGACUUCAGGCAGUCUAAGUAUAGAGACUGCGGGGCAACCCCACACAUUCUAAUGGGAGAGAGUCUGGGCCAAACCCAGGCAGUCUAAUUAUAGGACACGUGAGCGACCAAACUCAUUCUAAUGGGAGAAACUCCUGGCGGGCCCCAUGCCACCUAAUGAUAGAGACACUUGGACGACCCCAGGCAUUCUAAUGGGAAAGAUUCUUGGCCGACCCCAUGCUGCCUAAUGAUAGAGACAUCUGAGUGAACCCAGGCAUUCUAAUGAGAGAUGCUCCUUGCCUAUUCCAGGCAUUCUAAUGACAGAGACACCUGGGCAACCCCAGGCAUUGUAAUGAUACAGACAUGUGGGCGAUUUCAGGCAUUCUAAUGAAAGAGACUCCCUGCGGACCCAGGCAUUCUAAUGAGAGAGACUCUCAGCCGAUCUCAGGCAGUCUAAUGAUAGAGACACUGGAGUGACCAAAAGGAUUUUAAUAAAAGAGACUACCGGGCAACCACAGGCACAGACAAUCUAAUAAUAGAGACACCUGGGUGACUUUAGACAUUUCAGUGGGAGAGACUCCCAGCCGGCCCCGAGCAAUCUAAUGAUAGAGACACCUGGGAAACCUCAUGUAUUCUAAUGGGAGAAACUUUUGGCUGGCCCCAGACAUUCUAAUGGGAGAGACUGCUGGCCGACCCCAGGCAGUCUAAUGAUAGAGACACCUUGGCCACCCCCGUAUUCUAAAGGGAGAGACUAUUGACAGUCCCCAGAUUUUUUAAUGAUACAGACACCUGCGUGAGCCUAAGCAUUUUAAAAGGAGAGACUCUUGGUGACCACAGACAUUCUAAUAAUAGAGACACCUUGGCGAUUCCAGUCAUUCUAAUAGGAAAGACUCUCUUCUGAACCCAGGCAUUGUCUUGGGAGAUAAUCCUGGCUGAACCCAGACAGUCUAAUUAUAAAGACACCUGGGCAAGCCUAGGCAUUCUAAUGGGAGAUACCUCCCCAGUGUCCCCAGGCAGUCUAAUGAUAGAGACACCUUGACGACCACAGGCAUUAUUAUGAGAGACACACUUUGCCAAACUCAGGCAGUCUAAUGCUAGAGACAAUUGGGCGACAAGCAUUCUAGCGGGAAAAACUCCCGGCUGACCCCAGGCAUUGUAAUAAAAGAAAAGCCUGAGUGAUCCCAGCCAUUUUCAUGGGAGAGACACUUGUUCGACCCCAGGCAUUCUUAUGGGAGGGACUACUGGCCAACACCAGACAGUCUAAUAAAAAAGACAUGUAGAUGACCCCAUGCAUUCUUUUUUUUUCACACUUUAAAUACUUUAUUUAUAUAAAAACUCAUUUGUUUUUAAAAGCAUUAACAAGACAGAAAGAAAAGAGAAAAAGUAUGGAGCAGAACACAAGCCCGUUAGCAGUGUUCGGUGGGAAGGUGGGAUUUUUGGUUCUCUGGAAUUGAAUGUUUAGUGUUUUUAUAAACAAAAGAGGAAAAAAAAGUUAAAGGUCCCCAAAAGCCCAUGGCUAUCCUAUUACCCAUACCCCACUGAGAAGGGAGGGGGCAGGGAUAGCAUUAGGAGAUAUACCUAAUGCUAAAUGACGAGUUAAUGGGUGCAGCACACCAACAUGGCACAUGUAUACGUAUGUAACAAACCUGCACGUUGUGCACAUGUACCCUAAAACUUAAAGUAUAAUAAUAAUAAAAUUAAAUA